RNAcentral lists this ribosomal RNA (559 nucleotides) under uncultured bacterium. RNAcentral describes it as "bacterial SSU rRNA". It matches the Rfam family "Bacterial small subunit ribosomal RNA", at positions 120 to 674 of the family's 1533-position model. The record is from RNAcentral.
GGGAAACUGCCCGAUGGAGGGGGAUAACUACUGGAAACGGUAGCUAAUACCGCAUAACGUCGCAAGACCAAAGUGGGGGACCUUCGGGCCUCACACCAUCGGAUGUGCCCAGAUGGGAUUAGCUAGUAGGUGGGGUAAUGGCUCACCUAGGCGACGAUCCCUAGCUGGUCUGAGAGGAUGACCAGCCACACUGGAACUGAGACACGGUCCAGACUCCUACGGGAGGCAGCAGUGGGGAAUAUUGCACAAUGGGCGCAAGCCUGAUGCAGCCAUGCCGCGUGUAUGAAGAAGGCCUUCGGGUUGUAAAGUACUUUCAGCGGGGAGGAAGGCGGUGAAGUUAAUAGCUUCACCGAUUGACGUUACCCGCAGAAGAAGCACUGGCUAACUCCGUGCCAGCAGCCGCGGUAAUACGGAGGGUGCAAGCGUUAAUCGGAAUUACUGGGCGUAAAGCGCACGCAGGCGGUCUGUCAAGUCGGAUGUGAAAUCCCCGGGCUUAACCUGGGAACUGCAUUCGAAACUGGCAGGCUAGAGUCUUGUAGAGGGGGGUAGAAUUCCAGGU